GCUGAUGCGUUGUUGGGUAGGGGAGCGUUCUGUAAGCCUGCGAAGGUGGCCUGUGAGGGUUGCUGGAGGUAUCAGAAGUGCGAAUGCUGACAUAAGUAACGAUAAAGCGGGUGAAAAGCCCGCUCGCCGGAAGACCAAGGGUUCCUGUCCAACGUUAAUCGGGGCAGGGUGAGUCGACCCCUAAGGCGAGGCCGAAAGGCGUAGUCGAUGGGAAACGGGUUAAUAUUCCCGUACUUGGUGUUACUGCGAAGGGGGGACGGAGAAGGCUAUGUUGGCCGGGCGACGGUUGUCCCGGUUUAAGCGUGUAGGUGUGUGUUCCAGGUAAAUCCGGUUCACUUUAACACUGAGGCGUGACGACGAGGCACUACGGUGCUGAAGCAACAAAUGCCCUGCUUCCAGGAAAAGCCUCUAAGCAUCAGGUAACAUCAAAUCGUACCCCAAACCGACACAGGUGGUCAGGUAGAGAAUACCAAGGCGCUUGAGAGAACUCGGGUGAAGGAACUAGGCAAAAUGGUGCCGUAACUUCGGGAGAAGGCACGCUGACACGUAGGUGAAGUGAUUUACUCAUGGAGCUGAAGUCAGUCGAAGAUACCAGCUGGCUGCAACUGUUUAUUAAAAACACAGCACUGUGCAAACACGAAAGUGGACGUAUACGGUGUGACGCCUGCCCGGUGCCGGAAGGUUAAUUGAUGGGGUCAGCGCAAGCGAAGCUCCUGAUCGAAGCCCCGGUAAACGGCGGCCGUAACUAUAACGGUCCUAAGGUAGCGAAAUUCCUUGUCGGGUAAGUUCCGACCUGCACGAAUGGCGUAAUGAUGGCCAGGCUGUCUCCACCCGAGACUCAGUGAAAUUGAACUCGCUGUGAAGAUGCAGUGUACCCGCGGCAAGACGGAAAGACCCCGUGAACCUUUACUAUAGCUUGACACUGAACAUUGAGCCUUGAUGUGUAG
This 947-nucleotide ribosomal RNA is filed under the name Salmonella enterica. Its description in RNAcentral is "bacterial LSU rRNA". It matches the Rfam family "Bacterial large subunit ribosomal RNA", at positions 1213 to 2141 of the family's 2925-position model. The record is from RNAcentral. RNAcentral also lists the same sequence under 2 other names. Lineage: Bacteria; Pseudomonadati; Pseudomonadota; Gammaproteobacteria; Enterobacterales; Enterobacteriaceae.